GCAAAAAGUAAGGCGCUAAGCAACUCAGUGAGACCCUGUCUCUAAAUGAAAUAGAAAAAAGGGUUGGGGAUGUGGCUCAGUAGUCAAGUGCCCCUGGGUUCAAUCCCCAGUACUGAAAAACAAAACAAAACAAACCAACCAAACAAAGAAAAACCAAACCCAAACAAAUGAACAAAAAAAGAAGUUUCUGCCCCAUAGCUUGGUGAUUUUGAACCCUUUCUAUUUGUUUCUGGUAGGAAGGUGAGAUUAUCAUAUGGAUUUUAGAAAAGAAAAUAGGUUUAAGCAUAUCAUUAUAAACAGUAAUUCUCCACUGGGGACCAUUUUGCCUCCCUUCAAGGGACAUUUGGUCAUGUCUGGAGACAUUUUUGGUUGCCAUGCCUGGAAGUGGGUGCUAUUGGCUUGUGGUGGGUAGAAUCUGGGGGUGCUAUGAGGCUUCCAACAAUGCACAGGAGAGCCCCGCAGCCAAGAAUUAUCCUGAUCUAAAAUGUCAAUGGUGCUGGGGUUGAGAACCCCAUCCUAAACAAUGUUUCUGAACUUUUCUGUGCAGUGAUCAAUCUCAUACCUGUUUGGCCAAGAAAAUUCCAGUCAUACAAAUAACUCCUAACAAAAUAUUCUUCAGAACGUCUACACUCUCUGAAGGAACUUUGGAUUGGGC
RNAcentral lists this long non-coding RNA (655 nucleotides) under Marmota monax (woodchuck). Lineage: Eukaryota; Metazoa; Chordata; Mammalia; Rodentia; Sciuridae. The record is from RNAcentral.